UCUCACCCCGAUAAAACAUUCUUUUCCGACGCCACGCAUCAGACGUUGACAUUCGCCUUCUUCUUUGCGGGAUUU
This 75-nucleotide small RNA is filed under the name Minutocellus polymorphus. Its description in RNAcentral is "partial Betaproteobacteria transfer-messenger RNA". The record is from RNAcentral. Lineage: Eukaryota; Bacillariophyta; Thalassiosirophyceae; Cymatosirales; Cymatosiraceae.